RNAcentral lists this ribosomal RNA (112 nucleotides) under Thalassovita sp. RNAcentral also lists the same sequence under 1 other name. The record is from RNAcentral. Lineage: Bacteria; Pseudomonadati; Pseudomonadota; Alphaproteobacteria; Rhodobacterales; Roseobacteraceae.
AAUGGUGAUGAUAGCGCAGGUGUUCACCUCUUCCCAUUCCGAACAGAGAAGUUAAGCCCUGUAGCGCCGAUGGUACUGCAUUAAACUGUGGAAGAGUAGGUAAUCGCCAAUC